Long non-coding RNA from Lolium rigidum, 419 nucleotides. RefSeq lists it as uncharacterized. The record is from RefSeq and is a predicted model, not a curated record. The transcript has 2 exons. Lineage: Eukaryota; Viridiplantae; Streptophyta; Magnoliopsida; Poales; Poaceae.
CCUGAUAGCCUGGGCGCGCCGUGGCCGGCGGUAAUGCAAGCUUGGUGCAGCUAGCUUCUGGUGGAUUUGUUUUCAUCGACUGAAAACGGCGGCUCCGGCACUCGGCUGUGUGUUCGCGCGCAGGAAUUUUAAGGAUUUAUGGGCACUGCUUAUCCACCAGAUCCUUCCGUAGGCAAGGAUGUAAGAAUAGUGCAAUUUUCGCCAAUUCUGUCUGUAAUAUUUUGCAAUUGGAUGUACUUUCCGACCUUUUUUUACAUCCAAGAAAUGGUAAAGUCUGAGAUGUAUUUUUCUGCAACUAUGGAUAAAACGUAUGUAUCUGGAUGUAAUUUUUGUCAUUUUUGUACAUCCAGAAUGCUGGAUGGAUCAAGGUGUAAAACACUUAUUUUGUGAUCAAAUUAUUUUUGUGCUUCUAGAUGUAA